UACGUAGGGGGCUAGCGUUGUCCGGAAUCAUUGGGCGUAAAGCGCGUGUAGGCGGUCCGGUAAGUCCGCUGUGAAAGUCGGGGGCUCAACCCUCGGAUGCCGGUGGAUACUGUCGGGCUUGAGUACGGAAGAGGCGAGUGGAAUUCCUGGUGUAGCGGUGAAAUGCGCAGAUAUCAGGAGGAACACCAAUUGCGAAGGCGGCCGGCUGGGGGCGCCCUGACGCUGAGGCGCGAGAGCGUGGGGAGCAAACCGGG
Molecule: ribosomal RNA, 254 nt
Filed under: uncultured bacterium
Lineage: Bacteria
Description: partial 16S ribosomal RNA
Rfam family: Bacterial small subunit ribosomal RNA
Source: RNAcentral